UAAGGUUAGGGCUCUUCUAGAAUUUGUCUAGCGGGCUUGGAAGGCCCCA
Small nuclear RNA from Pongo abelii (Sumatran orangutan), 49 nucleotides. Its record names the gene U7. It matches the Rfam family "U7 small nuclear RNA". Rfam says of the family: Animal histone pre-mRNAs are spliced by a different mechanism than nuclear pre-mRNAs and self-splicing introns. This processing involves the U7 snRNP, which contains only one RNA species: U7. The record is from Ensembl. Lineage: Eukaryota; Metazoa; Chordata; Mammalia; Primates; Hominidae.